GUCCAAAUGUUUUCCAAAUUAAAUUUUUUUUUGUGGGGGGUACCCAUGCUCCUCGAUCGUCAGGAAUCCAAAGAUCCAAAUUCGUGCUGCUUUCCUUACUGCAAUGAUGUUUCCAGUCCCAUCUUCUCAUAUUUGUCAUUUAUUCAUUUUCCUUUUCUGUCACCUCCGAGUUUUCUCCACAAGUGGAUUAAAAGGAACAGUCUUAUUUUGUCUCUGUGUGGGUUUUAUAAUGCUCUCUCAUAUGUCCACAAAUCCAACCAUCAUGUUUUUGAGCAGACACUCCGUCCUGUCAUUCCGGUGAAAUACAGUCUAAAUGUCCACUCGUUUACUUUCCAGACCCGCUGCCUCAUAAUUAGUCUUCCAGGAGGAUAACAGCCCUUUCUGAUUUACGAUUCCAGCCUGAUAUCCAAGCGGCUCUUCCUCCCUAGACCAUCCAUCUUGCAGCCGAGAUCUGCCUACGCAACGGAGCAUUUCUUACUGCGUCACUGAGAGAGACUCACUUGUUUCCAAAUCUUUCACAGACAUAUAAUUUUUUCCACAUAGUUCAUUUUCACUCCCACUUGUAAAUUAGUCGUUGAGACGGUUUUUUGAGGGGGAGGGUUAUCAGGUACUCACAUAAAAAUAAAAUAAAAAAGUCUUUCCCCUCUCCUCUCGUACCGUCCACAUACCAAAAUGUCGGCAGUUCUCUGGUGUUAUCUCUGUUCCUUCCGUCCUUCGUCCUUCCGUCUCGAUCUUCUUCACUCAGUGGUAAAUUUAUUAGCAGAUAAAAGCAUUCCUGAUUUCUCUUGAAGCAUGUGCGUUUAUUGGUCCAAUUCUUUUCUUCUUUUUAAACAUCGCAGCCAGGCUCGCUCCUGAAAGAAGCUGGCAGGGAGCUCCAAGCUUGCCCGAGGGCUUUCCACCUAGUGCCUCUCACCCCCUCCUUCAUCCGAACUCGGGGGUGAUUUAUGGCAACAGCAGG
Podarcis lilfordi (Lilford's wall lizard) is the source of this 958-nucleotide non-coding RNA. The record is from the annotation of a GenBank genome assembly. NCBI's taxonomy places the organism in Eukaryota, Metazoa, Chordata, Lepidosauria, Squamata, Lacertidae.